RNAcentral lists this ribosomal RNA (277 nucleotides) under uncultured bacterium. RNAcentral describes it as "partial 16S ribosomal RNA". It matches the Rfam family "Bacterial small subunit ribosomal RNA", at positions 28 to 332 of the family's 1533-position model. The record is from RNAcentral.
GAUGAACGCUGGCGGCAGGCUUAACACAUGCAAGUCGAACGGUUGUCUUCGGAUGGCCGUGGCGCACGGGUGAGUAACGCGUGGGAACGUGCCCCUGGGUUGGGGAUAACGGCGGGAAACUGCCGAUAAUACCUGAUAUGGAGCGAUCUGAAAGAUUUAUCGCCCAGGGAUCGGCCCGCGUUGGAUUAGCUGGUUGGUGUGGUAAAGGCGCACCAAGGCGACGAUCCAUAGCUGGUCUGAGAGGACGAUCAGCCACACUGGGACUGAGACACGGCCC